AGCGGGGUAGGGUAGCCAGGACAACCCGCAGGGCCCAUGUCCCUGAGAUCGGAGAUUCGAAUUCUCCCCCCGCUA
RNAcentral lists this transfer RNA (75 nucleotides) under Candidatus Bathyarchaeota archaeon. RNAcentral describes it as "tRNA-Met". Lineage: Archaea; Thermoproteati; Candidatus Bathyarchaeota. The record is from RNAcentral. RNAcentral also lists the same sequence under 1 other name.